GGCGCUGUGCCCCAACUGGCAGAGGGGGCGGUCUGAGGGACCGUCGGUUGCAGGUUCGAUUCCUGUCAGCGCUA
Molecule: transfer RNA, 74 nt
Filed under: Streptomyces sp. 846.5
Lineage: Bacteria; Bacillati; Actinomycetota; Actinomycetes; Kitasatosporales; Streptomycetaceae
Also listed under: 2 other names
Rfam family: tRNA
About the family: Transfer RNA (tRNA) molecules are approximately 80 nucleotides in length. Their secondary structure includes four short double-helical elements and three loops (D, anti-codon, and T loops).
Source: Rfam by way of RNAcentral